This is a long non-coding RNA of Acanthochromis polyacanthus (spiny chromis), 532 nucleotides long. RefSeq lists it as uncharacterized. The record is from RefSeq and is a predicted model, not a curated record. Lineage: Eukaryota; Metazoa; Chordata; Actinopteri; Pomacentridae. The transcript is spliced from 3 exons.
GGCAUUCCUGGAAGAAGCCACUGCGUUAGAUCCCAGAUUCAAAUCCAAAGUGGACAACGAUGAAAUCUGGGACAGAGUCAGGGCAACAGCAGUGACAGCAAACACACCAGCAGCUGCAGCAGAAGAGCUGUCACAGUGUGGAGAGACACAGAGGCAGGUAGAAGAAGAGGAAGACGAAGAAGAUGACUAUACCCCACCCAUAAAGCAGCAAAAGAAGACAGCCCUAGAAGAACUUUUUGAAGAAGAGGACAGUGAGCUUUUGUCUGUGCAGCAGCAGCCCCCUGUCUCCAUAGCCCAAAGAGUUGAUCAAGAAGUCCAACUAUACAGAACCCUUCCUCCCAUCCCAACCAAAGACAGCGCCACCCUCUGGUGGUGGAUGAAGAGGGACACUUUGCCAAUGGUGUCAGCUUUAGCUGAGAAGUAUCUCUGCAUCCAAGCCUCCUCCACACCAUCUGAAAGGGUGUUCUCCACAGCUGGAGACACCCUAAGUCCAGAACGAUCUCGUAUCCUUCCUGAGAAGGCAAACAUGCUA